GGUCUCUUUCUACUCUUUUGGAGAAAUUCUGUUCGUGCUGAUUCUUGUAUGACUGAAGAUAAGCUCUUGAAUCUCAUUCUCCAUAUUAAGAGCGGUGAUAAGAAUAAUUUAUCUUCUUUGUUGCUGAAGCCUGACUGUCGUGCCAGUUGUUGUGCUUCGUUUAUUGUUGUUCUUUGGUCAACUGAAGGUAAGAAUUACUUAUGGAUCUCAGUCUCAAAGACAGUAGAUAGAGUUACAUAGAUAUGUAGCAAAAGGUUUGACAGUGUUUCAAAUGCUGUUGUUCUGUCCUAGUAUUCCUCACAGUCGCUCGUAUUGUCUACAGGUAAAUACGGUUUUCCAAUUGGAUCUAGUUGCUGCCGCCCUCUUGCAACCUGAAUUUGGAACCCCAGAAAGUCAAACCGUACAUUACAUGCUCGAGCUGGUCAGUGGCGUCUACGACAGUUGCGUCCACCGCAGCAUACGGUGUGCAGCACGUGAGAAGAUCCACAUCCAUCCUAAGAAAUCGCUAGGCCUAAUUUCUCUCUACAUUGACUUCAGAGAUGGUGUACAUAACUCAAGAGUCGGCAAUUUCUGCAAUAUCUUAGAUCUUUCGAGUAAGGGAUUGCAGCCUCUAUUCAGAAUUCCGAUUUGCCAAAGAAAGAUGAUCAAUGGCUAGCCAUGGAAAUCUUGGCACGCGAAAAAGAGGGAAUUGCGGUUAUCAGACGAAUGGAUUCCGCCGCUCCUUCCAUGAGAUCAUCUUCUCACGGGAAUUUUGAUUCUUGCAUGUGGGCAUGAUGUGUACAAAAGCGGACUGUAUCAGGAGGUCAUUCAGAGACCAGAGCAUUUUAAUCUUGUGAACUUUUCCAAUCAAUGCCAUAACUUUCCAUGGCAAAGCUGCGUCCCUAGGGGCUUGCCCCUGCAGACAUUGUCUUCUGGACGUUUUGUAUAUGUCCGCAAGGACAUCAUGCCUCUUGUUCUCUCCCA
This is a long non-coding RNA of Syzygium oleosum, 963 nucleotides long. RefSeq lists it as uncharacterized. NCBI's taxonomy places the organism in Eukaryota, Viridiplantae, Streptophyta, Magnoliopsida, Myrtales, Myrtaceae. The transcript has 2 exons. The record is from RefSeq and is a predicted model, not a curated record.